RNAcentral lists this ribosomal RNA (3123 nucleotides) under Mycobacterium botniense. RNAcentral's name for it is "23S ribosomal RNA". It matches the Rfam family "Bacterial large subunit ribosomal RNA". Lineage: Bacteria; Bacillati; Actinomycetota; Actinomycetes; Mycobacteriales; Mycobacteriaceae. The record is from RNAcentral.
UAAGUGGUUAAGGGCGCAUGGUGGAUGCCUUGGCAUCGGGGGCCGAUGAAGGACGUGGGAGGCUGCGAUAAGCCUCGGGGAGCUGUCAACCGAGCGUGGAUCCGAGGAUGUCCGAAUGGGGUAACCCGGCACGAGUGAUGUCGUGUCACCCGCAUCUGAAUGUAUAGGGUGCGGGGGGGAACGCGGGGAAGUGAAACAUCUCAGUACCCGCAGGAGAAGAAAACAACCUGUGAUUCCGUUAGUAGUGGCGAGCGAACGCGGAGGAUGGCUAAACCGUGCACAUGGGAUACCCGGCGGGGGUUGUGUGUGCGGGGUUGUGGGGCGUUUCUGGUCUGGGUCCGCCGGCCCGGGCGGAAGUGAUCAACCGUGGUGUUAGUCGAAGUGGCCUGGGAUGGCCCGCCGUAGACGGUGAGAGCCCGGUAGGCGAAAACAGCGCGGCUUCCGUGGAAGCGUUCCCGAGUAGCAGCGGGCCCGUGGAAUCUGCUGUGAAUCGGCCGGGACCACCCGGUAAGCCUAAAUACUUCCCGAUGACCGAUAGCGGAACAGUACCGUGAGGGAAUGGUGAAAAGUACCCCGGGAGGGGAGUGAAAAAGUACCUGAAACCGUGUGCCUACAAACCGUCAAAGCCCCCGCCCUGUGGUGUGGGGUGAUGGCGUGCCUUUUGAAGAAUGAGCCUGCGAGUCACUGACAUGUCGCGAGGUUAACCCGGGUGGGGUAGCCGCAGCGAAAGCGAGUCUGAAUAGGGCGUAUCCAACUCGUUGGGGUUGGUGUAGUGGCGUGUUGUGGACCCGAAGCGGGGUGAUCUACCCAUGGCCAGGGUGAAGCGCGGGUAAGACCGCGUGAAGGCCCGAACCCACUUAGGUUGAAGACUGAGGGGAUGAGCUGUGGGUAGGGGUGAAAGGCCAAUCAAACUCCGUGAUAGCUGGUUCUCCCCGAAAUGCAUUUAGGUGCAGCGUUGCGUGGUUCACCGCGGAGGUAGAGCUACUGGAUGGCCGAUGGGCCCGACUAGGUUACUGACGUCAGCCAAACUCCGAAUGCCGUGGUGGUAAGCGUGGCAGUGAGACGGCGGGGAUAAGCUUCGCGCGUCGAAAGGGAAACAGCCCAGAUCGCCGGCUAAGGCCCCUAAGCGUGUGCUAAGUGGGAAAGGAUGUGUGAUCGCGAAGACAACCAGGAGGUUGGCUUAGAAGCAGCCACCCUUGAAAGAGUGCGUAAUAGCUCACUGGUCAAGUGAUUGCGCGCCGAUAAUGUAGCGGGGCUCAAGCACACCGCCGAAGCCGCGGCAGCCGGCCAGUGGCCGGCUGGGUAGGGGAGCGUCCCCUCAUCGGUGAAGUCGUGGAGUGAUCCACGGUGAAGGUGAGGGGAGUGCGAAUGCAGGCAUGAGUAGCGAUAAGGCAAGUGAGAACCUUGCCCGCCGAAAGACCAAGGGUUCCUGGGCCAGGCCAGUCCGCCCAGGGUGAGUCGGGACCUAAGGCGAGGCCGACAGGCGUAGUCGAUGGACAACGGGUUGAUAUUCCCGUACCCGUGUGUGCGCGCCCAUACCGAAUCAGAUCCGCUAACCACCCAAACGGCCGGUGACUGGUUUUUCUUCGGAAAAACCAGCGCCUGCCCGCUGCGUGGGACCCGGUCUGCUAGUAGGUAAGCGAAGGGGUGACGCAGCAAGGUAGCCGUACCAGUCAGUGGUAACACUGGGGCAAACCCGUAGGGGGCCAGAUAGGCAAAUCCGUUUGGCGUAAACCCCGAGAGGUGAUGCAUAGCCGAGUGAGGCGAAUUCGGUGAUCCUCUACUGCCAAGAAAAGCCUCUAGCGAGCACACACACGGCCCGUACCCCAAACCGACACAGGUGGUCAGGUAGAGCAUACCAAGGCGUACGAGUCAACUAUGGUUAAGGAACUCGGCAAAAUGCCCCCGUAACUUCGGGAGAAGGGGGACCCCCACACCGUCAACCCACACGCUGGGGGCAGCGGCAGGGGGUGGCACAAACUAGGGAGAAGCGACUGUUUACUAAAAACACAGGUCCGUGCGAAGUCGCAAGACGAGGUAUACGGACUGACGCCUGCCCGGUGCUGGAAGGUUAAGAGGACCCGUCAACCCCCUCGGGGGUGAAGCGGAGAAUUUAAGCCCCAGUAAACGGCGGUGGUAACUAUAACCAUCCUAAGGUAGCGAAAUUCCUUGUCGGGUAAGUUCCGACCUGCACGAAUGGCGUAACGACUUCUCCACUGUCUCAACCAUAGACUCGGCGAAAUUGCACUACGAGUAAAGAUGCUCGUUACGCGCGGCAGGACGAAAAGACCCCGGGACCUUUACUACAACUUGGUACUGGUGUUCGAUGCGGCUUGUGUAGGAUAGGUGGGAGACUGCGAAGCACAAACGCCAGUUUGUGUGGAGUCGUCCUUGAAAUACCACUCUGGCCGUAUUGGACAUCUAACCUCGAACCCUGAAACCGGGUUCAGGGACAGUGCCUGGCGGGUAGUUUAACUGGGGCGGUUGCCUCCCAAAACGUAACGGAGGCGCCCAAAGGUUCCCUCAACCUGGACGGCAAUCAGGUGACGAGUGCAAGUGCACAAGGGAGCUUGACUGCAAGACCCACACGUCAAGCAGGGACGAAAGUCGGGACUAGUGAUCCGGCACCCCCGAGUGGAAGGGGUGUCGCUCAACGGAUAAAAGGUACCCCGGGGAUAACAGGCUGAUCUUCCCCAAGAGUCCAUAUCGACGGGAUGGUUUGGCACCUCGAUGUCGGCUCGUCGCAUCCUGGGGCUGGAGCAGGUCCCAAGGGUUGGGCUGUUCGCCCAUUAAAGCGGCACGCGAGCUGGGUUUAGAACGUCGUGAGACAGUUCGGUCUCUAUCCGCCGCGCGCGUCAGAAGCCUGAGGAAACCUGUCCCUAGUACGAGAGGACCGGGACGGACGAACCUCUGGUGCACCAGUUGUCCCACCAGGGGCACCGCUGGAUAGCCACGUUCGGCAAGGAUAACCGCUGAAAGCAUCUAAGCGGGAAACCCCCUCCAAGACCAGGCUUCUCACCCACCACAUGGGAUAAGGCCCCCCGCAGAACACGGGAUCAAUAGACCAGACCUACAAGCCCAGCAAUGAGCUCAGGGAACUGGCACUAACCGGCCGAAAACUUA